Molecule: long non-coding RNA, 1627 nt
Filed under: Nicotiana benthamiana
Lineage: Eukaryota; Viridiplantae; Streptophyta; Magnoliopsida; Solanales; Solanaceae
Description: long non-coding RNA (NBEN_LNC039897)
Source: RNAcentral
ACAUAGCACCGCAUUGUGCAAAUAUGGGGUUUCAAACCCUCAGUAUAUCAUUCAUAACCAUUACUCACCUCAAACCGGCCAAAAUCCUAGCUCGCAUGCGCUUUCCUUGCAAAUCUACCUCCUCAGGUGAAGAAUCUAAUCAAAACCACAAGGAAUAUGUUAUAAUAGGCUAAUGGGUCAUAACCCAAUAGAAAAAACUGAAAGAUCACCCAAAAACACGAAGUUGGCAAAACCCGAGCCCCGGUCCCACUUAUUAAAAAAUUACAAAAUUCAUAUCACCAGAAUUCUCAUCUCUGCACGAGUUCGUACAUAUCAAAUUUACAAGAAUCAGAGUCCAUUUGACCCAUCAAAUCAACACUUUAAGUUCACUUGAGUUUCAAGCCCUAACAACCAUUUUUAACUUCAAAAACCUUGAAUUCUUUGUGUUUGAUCCAUGUUUUAACACGAUUAUGACAUACUCUAGCUCCAAGAAUCCAUACCUGAUGUUUUCCCCAAAAUCCUCUUCAAAAUCGCUCCCAAAUUUUCCUUAGUCCGAGGUCCAAAUGUUCUUCUCUUUUUCAAACUUAUGAAAAAUCACUAUUCAUUAAACUUGGUCGAUUUCCGUUUCAGCGGCACUUUUUCCGCUUCAGCGACUCCCGCUUCCGCGUCCAUUUGACCGCUUCUGCGGUUUGACUAAUAUCCUUAGCGACCGCUUCUGCGGUCCUUGACCACUUCCGCGACCUUCACCUAUGCGGUCACAUGACCGCUCCUGCGGUCCCAGCCUUUUCCUCAGCUUUCGCGGUAGCCGCUUAAGCGGCUCCUCUUCCGCAAAAGCGGAAAUACUAGAAGCCUUUAGCUCUCUUCAUGCAAUAAAUUCCCAAACCUCUGAGCAACCAUCCGGAAUCACCCCGAGGCCCCCGUGGUCCCAACAAAAACAACCAACCUACUCCAAAACAUCAUAAGAACAUGCUCCAAUCAGAGAAACACAACCUUUAACACGAAAGUCGUCAAAUCAAGAUGGAUUCAAGCCUAAGUUCAACUAUAACUUCCGAAAUUCAAAUUCGAUCUAAAACCCAACCAAACGACGUCGAUUGACCUCACAAUUUGCAGACAUAUCAAAAAUCAGUGAACGAAGCUACAACAACUCUCGGAAUUUCAUUCCGUCCUCCUCAAAAUCUCACCUUUCAAUCAGAAUUUUGCCGAAGUUUAAACUCACCCAAUUCAAGCCUAAUUUUACACCGGACCUCCAAAUUCAAUUUUGAUUUCACUCCCAAGUCAUAAAUCACCACCCAAAACUAGUCGAACCGUCGGAAAUUCAUUCCUAGCCCUAUAACUCAUUGUCAACAUCCGGUUGAUUUUUUUAAAAUAGCCUUCUCUUAAAGAGACUAAUUGUCUCAAUUCCAUCCAAACUCUAACUGAAUCACUCCAAAAUCUACCAACACAUAUAAUGAAGCAUACAGAAGCAUAAAACUGGGAAAACGGGGCCGUAACGCACAUGACGACAGGCUGGGUCGUCACGUCCUCCCCAACUAAAUCAUGAGCUCGUCCCCGAGCGGGUCAAGAAACAUACCUGGAGCCUCAAACAAACAAGGAUAUCUACUCCGCAUCUCUUGCUCGGUCUCCCAAGUGGCCUCCUCCACGAGCUGAC